This 117-nucleotide ribosomal RNA is filed under the name Sinocyclocheilus grahami. The record is from RNAcentral. Lineage: Eukaryota; Metazoa; Chordata; Actinopteri; Cypriniformes; Cyprinidae.
UGCCACAGCCAUAUCACCCUGCAGCCCAAGACUGGUUGCCUACUGAAGCUAAGCAGGGUUGAGCCUGGUCAGUACCUGGAUGGGAGACCUCCUGAGAAAACUAGGUUGCUGUUGGAA